GACGAACGCUGGCGGCGUGCCUAAUACAUGCAAGUUGAGCGCUGAAGGUUGGUACUUGUACCAACUGGAUGAGCAGCGAACGGGUGAGUAACGCGUGGGGAAUCUGCCUUUGAGCGGGGGACAACAUUUGGAAACGAAUGCUAAUACCGCAUAAAAACUUUAAACACAAGUUUUUAGUUUGAAAGAUGCAAUUGCACCACUCAAAGAUGAUCCCGCGUUGUAUUAGCUAGUUGGUGAGGUAAAGGCUCACCAAGGCGAUGAUACAUAGCCGACCUGAGAGGGUGAUCGGCCACAUUGGGACUGAGACACGGCCCAAACUCCUACGGGAGGCAGCAGUAGGGAAUCUUCGGCAAUGGACGAAAGUCUGACCGAGCAACGCCGCGUGAGUGAAGAAGGUUUUCGGAUCGUAAAACUCUGUUGGUAGAGAAGAACGUUGGUGAGAGUGGAAAGCUCAUCAAGUGACGGUAACUACCCAGAAAGGGACGGCUAACUACGUG
This 497-nucleotide ribosomal RNA is filed under the name uncultured bacterium. Its description in RNAcentral is "partial 16S ribosomal RNA". It matches the Rfam family "Bacterial small subunit ribosomal RNA", at positions 28 to 507 of the family's 1533-position model. The record is from RNAcentral.